GCUGGGCGCCUUGGUGCGUGCCUGUAGUCCCAGCUACUCGGGAGCCUGAGUGGGGAGGAUCGCUUGAGCCCUGAAGUUCUGGGCUGUAAUGCAUUAUGCUGAUCGGGUGUCCACACUAAGUUCAGCAUCAAUAUGGUGACCUCCUGGGAGUGGGGGACCACCAGGUUGCCUAAGGAGGGGUGAACCGGCCCAGGUCAGAAAUGGAGCAGGUCAAAACUCCCCUAAUGAUCAGUAGUGGGAUUGCGCCUGUGAAUAGUUACUGCACUCCAGCCUGGGCAACAUAGUGAGACCUCGUCUCUA
This is an unclassified non-coding RNA of Callithrix jacchus (white-tufted-ear marmoset), 300 nucleotides long. It matches the Rfam family "Metazoan signal recognition particle RNA". From Rfam's summary of the family: The signal recognition particle (SRP) is a universally conserved ribonucleoprotein. It is involved in the co-translational targeting of proteins to membranes. The eukaryotic SRP consists of a 300-nucleotide 7S RNA and six proteins: SRPs 72, 68, 54, 19, 14, and 9. NCBI's taxonomy places the organism in Eukaryota, Metazoa, Chordata, Mammalia, Primates, Cebidae. The record is from Ensembl.